GGCCCCAUUAACCAAGCAGAGCCUGGAGAACGUCGGACAUGAGGAGGGAUUUGGUCUGGGUGAGAUGGCUGCAGUCAAGGGCUCCUGGCUGGGUGAGGUCACUGAACUCCCCCGAGGGAAGCAGGUAAAGGCAAAGCCUACGGCUCUUUUGCCUCAGACACCUCAGGCUGUACGGGUGCUCAGAAAAAGGUGGGUAGUGUCUUUCCUUCUUCACAGAGAGGUGUAAAUCUUAAAGCUUAAUUAAAGCAAUUUGAAUAGUAAUAAUAUUAUCCACUUGAAACUAGAAACAUUUUGAUGUUCUAGAAUAAUCUGUCCUAAUGAAUAUAUUCUCACUCUCUUUGCAAUUGAAAUAAUUUGGUGCAUGUUAUUCUUUUUAUCUUCUCCUUUAGCUUUGAAAGCUGUCUUGCAGAGAUCAGGGCUCAUCUCUUGUCUCAAGAGUUUCAGCCUCAGUGACUGGUUGAAAUUAGGCUCAGUUACAAAAGUCUCUACUAGUAAGUUUCUGAGGAGAAUCUUGGUUCCUAUGGCAUCCCAGCUCAGAAUCUCUCUGGACUCUUACAGCACCGCAUGUUUUCAGAGGCAGCUCAGUUUCAUACAAAUGCUCCUGCCAUCCUGUUCUCCUUGCUCCUUUACAGGCUCCACAGUGACCACUGAAUUAGCUGGCACUGAGCCCUCACAGGACCAGGGUCUUGAGAAGAAAGUCAGGCUGGCCUUAAAGCAGAUUGGCUUUUCUUAAGUGCUCAGAUCCUGCCCCUUACAAAGCCCAGGCUGUGGAGUGUGAACUGCAGAUACAUUAGAGUUCAGAGCAAUCUGGACACUCAUCAUUGUCAGAUUUUUUUCUCCUCUCACACAAUUUCCUAACAAUGCUCUCGUCCUCCACUGCUUUCUUCUGCUGACAAGCAGUAUUGUGUCUUUUGGAGUGAUGAAAGGCAAAGGCACUGAACAGCAUCAUCAACACAUGGCAGUUCCUUUCAUUUUUAAUUAAAUAUAUGACAGCCAAUGGACCAGUAAUGUACCUAAAUAAACCACAUUCAUAGAACAAAGGAAGAAGACACUCUUGAGCACUAGGUUUAAUACACAGUGGGUAUCCAAUGGAUACAACAGAAAAGUUAAUUCAUUCAGAAUUGUAAGGAAGCAACAGUUGUGCAUUUUGAUUUUUUUGCUCAGUUUCACCAGGUACAAACAUUUGAACCAGGCCUCAGCAUCAGGCAGGUCCAUGGACAGAGUAAAAGGAGACACUUGCUCAUUAUAACUGAGGGUAUUUUCAUUGCAAAACAAGGAAAUACAUAUUUAAUUAGCUUAAAAACUUUUUUUUUU
Long non-coding RNA from Pyrgilauda ruficollis (rufous-necked snowfinch), 1314 nucleotides. RefSeq lists it as uncharacterized. The record is from RefSeq and is a predicted model, not a curated record. The transcript is spliced from 2 exons. NCBI's taxonomy places the organism in Eukaryota, Metazoa, Chordata, Aves, Passeriformes, Passeridae.